GAUGAACGCUGGCGGCGUGCCUAAUACAUGCAAGUCGAGCGAACAGACGAGGAGCUUGCUCCUCUGACGUUAGCGGCGGACGGGUGAGUAACACGUGGAUAACCUACCUAUAAGACUGGGAUAACUUCGGGAAACCGGAGCUAAUACCGGAUAAUAUAUUGAACCGCAUGGUUCAAUAGUGAAAGACGGUUUUGCUGUCACUUAUAGAUGGAUCCGCGCCGCCUUAGCUAGUUGGUAAGGUAACGGCUUACCAAGGCAACGAUGCGUAGCCGACCUGAGAGGGUGAUCGGCCACACUGGAACUGAGACACGGUCCAGACUCCUACGGGAGGCAGCAGUAGGGAAUCUUCCGCAAUGGGCGAAAGCCUGACGGAGCAACGCCGCGUGAGUGAUGAAGGUCUUCGGAUCGUAAAACUCUGUUAUUAGGGAAGAACAAAUGUGUAAGUAACUAUGCACGCCUUGACGGUACCUAAUCAGAAAGCCACGGCUAACUACGUG
Molecule: ribosomal RNA, 497 nt
Filed under: uncultured bacterium
Lineage: Bacteria
Description: partial 16S ribosomal RNA
Rfam family: Bacterial small subunit ribosomal RNA
Source: RNAcentral